RNAcentral lists this transfer RNA (71 nucleotides) under Loxodonta africana (African savanna elephant). It matches the Rfam family "tRNA". From Rfam's summary of the family: Transfer RNA (tRNA) molecules are approximately 80 nucleotides in length. Lineage: Eukaryota; Metazoa; Chordata; Mammalia; Proboscidea; Elephantidae. The record is from Rfam by way of RNAcentral.
GCAGUGAUGGUUCCGUGGUAGAUGACCUCCCUUCCAUGUGGGAGACCUGGGUUCAAUUCCCAGCCAUUGUA